CGCACAUCAGAUUUCCUGGUGUAACGAAUUUUUCAAGUGCUUCUUGCGAACGCAAGUUUCAUCCCGGCAUUAAUACUGCCGGGAUUC
Molecule: non-coding RNA, 87 nt
Filed under: Buttiauxella agrestis ATCC 33320
Lineage: Bacteria; Pseudomonadati; Pseudomonadota; Gammaproteobacteria; Enterobacterales; Enterobacteriaceae
Description: DsrA RNA
Rfam family: DsrA RNA
About the family: DsrA RNA regulates both transcription, by overcoming transcriptional silencing by the nucleoid-associated H-NS protein, and translation, by promoting efficient translation of the stress sigma factor, RpoS. These two activities of DsrA can be separated by mutation: the first of three stem-loops of the 85 nucleotide RNA is necessary for RpoS translation but not for anti-H-NS action, while the second stem-loop is essential for antisilencing and less critical for RpoS translation. The third stem-loop, which behaves as a transcription terminator, can be substituted by the trp transcription terminator without loss of either DsrA function.
Source: Rfam by way of RNAcentral